Molecule: long non-coding RNA, 799 nt
Organism: Drosophila mojavensis
Lineage: Eukaryota; Metazoa; Arthropoda; Insecta; Diptera; Drosophilidae
Exons: 2
Source: RefSeq, a predicted model, not a curated record
UCCCAAACCCAUUUUCAAUGGGUUCAGGGUAUAAUAAAAAUGCCGCGUCCUAGAAGAUCUAAUCUUUCCCAGCGAACCCGUAAUGCAAUUUGGCGAACAACGAGAAGUCACCCGAAAAGAGCUCCGCGUUAGUAUGGAGCAAAGAAGGGCCUUAAUUCGUGCUUCUCGAACGUGAUUAAUAAAUAUGCGUGUUUUUUUUAGUACGUAUAAAAGCAGACAACAAUGCCACGGAAACGCAAGGGGGCUAAAUUGAGUCGUCGAACACUGAAAUCUAGAGGCAUGCAGGAUAGAAGAGCACAAAGAUCAGAUCAAGAGAGGCAACAAAGCAAUGCAGAUGUCCGUGUAAGCAUGGCGCAGUUACAAUUGGAAGAGGCACGAGAUGAGCGAAGCCAGCAAAGACAAUUAGAACGAAGAGAAGCGCGCAGAUUCGUAGUCAACAGCCGUAGAGGAAUUGACCGACAACGUCAACAAGUAAAUCGAGCACUUACAGCACAUUCCAAAGUGGUCAUUGGUACAUUGGACAAAGAAUACCCGCACUGCCAUGCCCUUAAAUUUAAAAAUGAGCCGAUCGGGGUGGUGCUCCUCAGGAAAAGAAAAACUCCCAGAAAUUGAAACAGCGCCGGAACCAUUGCACGGCUUCCUUAUCCAGAUUCUUUGCUGUUCUUGCAGUCAAUGCGAAAAUUCAAUUCUUGUUUUCAAAUGGCAUCGUUUGGAGCAGUUCAAUUUCACAGUCAAAGUCAAAGGCCAAGUUUACCACAAAGUCAGUUAACAAUUGGAGCCAAAUGAACCUUAUAAAUUU